UGGUGAUGAUGAGGAAAUCUAAUCAGUAGAGAUUUGAAGCUAUCCGAGGCUUGGUAUAAAUUUUCACCUGACUUUUGUUUAAAGCUUAGAAUCUCAGCUCUUAGCUU
Solanum dulcamara is the source of this 107-nucleotide small nucleolar RNA. The record is from RefSeq and is a predicted model, not a curated record. Lineage: Eukaryota; Viridiplantae; Streptophyta; Magnoliopsida; Solanales; Solanaceae.